CCUACGGGGGGCAGCAGUGGGGAAUAUUGGACAAUGGGGGCAACCCUGAUCCAGCCAUGCCGCGUGUGUGAAGAAGGCCCUCGGGUUGUAAAGCACUUUCAGUGAGGAAGAACGCCUGGUGGUUAAUACCCAUCAGGAAAGACAUCACUCACAGAAGAAGCACCGGCUAACUCCGUGCCAGCAGCCGCGGUAAUACGGAGGGUGCGAGCGUUAAUCGGAAUUACUGGGCGUAAAGCGCGCGUAGGUGGCUUGAUAAGCCGGUUGUGAAAGCCCCGGGCUCAACCUGGGAACGGCAUCCGGAACUGUCAAGCUAGAGUGCAGGGGAGGAAGGUAGAAUUCCCGGUGUAGCGGUGAAAUGCGUAGAGAGCGGGAGGAAUACCAGUGGCGAAGGCGGCCUUCUGGACUGACACUGACACUGAGGUGCGAAAGCGUGGGUAGCAAACAGGAUUAGAUACCCCUGUAGUC
RNAcentral lists this ribosomal RNA (465 nucleotides) under Vreelandella stevensii. RNAcentral describes it as "partial 16S ribosomal RNA". It matches the Rfam family "Bacterial small subunit ribosomal RNA", at positions 338 to 795 of the family's 1533-position model. Lineage: Bacteria; Pseudomonadati; Pseudomonadota; Gammaproteobacteria; Oceanospirillales; Halomonadaceae. The record is from RNAcentral.